Molecule: ribosomal RNA, 253 nt
Filed under: uncultured bacterium
Lineage: Bacteria
Description: partial 16S ribosomal RNA
Rfam family: Bacterial small subunit ribosomal RNA
Source: RNAcentral
UACAGAGGGUGCAAGCGUUGUUCGGAAUUAUUGGGCGUAAAGGGCGCGUAGGCGGUGCGGUAAGUCUGUAGUGAAAUCUCUGGGCUCAACUCAGAGUCUGCUGCAGAAACUGCCGUGCUUGAGUCCGGAAGAGGAGAGUGGAAUUCCCGGUGUAGCGGUGAAAUGCGCAGAUAUCGGGAAGAACACCCGUGGCGAAGGCGGCUCUCUGGGACGGUACUGACGCUGAGACGCGAAAGCGUGGGGAGCGAACAGG